Molecule: unclassified non-coding RNA, 309 nt
Filed under: Hevea brasiliensis (rubber tree)
Lineage: Eukaryota; Viridiplantae; Streptophyta; Magnoliopsida; Malpighiales; Euphorbiaceae
Source: RNAcentral
GUUUGUUUGAUGAAACUUCAUGGAUCGAUUGAAUUGAUUGUUUUACACAUAUGCAACUGUCGAUGUGUUUGAUUAAGAUGUAAAAUUUGCUUUGAAGCAGUUACUGAUUUGGGUAUGAAAAAUGAAGCUUAAUGGAAUAAACGAUUGUAUAUAUUCAUUUGUUAAUUUAGCUACAUUUGCUUUAUUUUUCGGCUAAAAAUAGUAUCUCUUAUCCUAUAUGUGUUGCUUUUAAAGUACGCAGCUUUUAGCUUUUCUUUCUGUUUUUAUCUCUGAUUUGAUGUCUGUUACUAACUGAACUGUAUAUUCUUG